This 336-nucleotide ribosomal RNA is filed under the name uncultured bacterium. RNAcentral describes it as "partial 16S ribosomal RNA". It matches the Rfam family "Bacterial small subunit ribosomal RNA", at positions 338 to 672 of the family's 1533-position model. The record is from RNAcentral.
CCUACGGGGAGCAGCAGUGAGGAAUAUUGGUCAAUGGGCGGAAGCCUGAACCAGCCAAGUAGCGUGCGGGAUGAAGGCACUACGGGUCGUAAACCGCUUUUGCACGGGGAUAACACCCUCCACUUGUGGAGGUCUGCAGGUACCGUGCGAAUAAGUGCCGGCUAAUUCCGUGCCAGCAGCCGCGGUAAUACGGAAGGCCCGCGCGUUAUCCGGUUUCAUGGGGCAUAAAGGGAGCGUAGGCGGGCGUUCAAGUCAGCUGUAAAAUCGCGCGGCUCAACCGCGACCCGCAGUUGUAACUGGACGCCUUGAGUUCACAACAGGCAGGCGGAAUUGGUG